CCUGUUUACCAAAAACAUCGCCUUUUGAAUAUUAUAAAAGGUAACGCCUGCCCAGUGACAUAAGUUUAACGGCCGCGGUAUUCUGACCGUGCGAAGGUAGCGUAAUCACUUGUCUUUUAAAUGAAGACUUGUAUGAAUGGCAUCACGAGGACUUAACUGUCUCCCUAAUUUAAUCAGUGAAACUGAUCUUCCUGUGAAAAAGCAGGAAUAAUUUCAUAAGACGAGAAGACCCUAUGGAGCUUAAAACUAAAAACUAACUGUAUAAUCUGCCAAAUUAAAUGACACUAACACACAGAUUUAGCCUAAGUUUUCUGUUGGGGCGACUACGGAGAAAAACUUAUCCUCCGUGAAGAAUAUACUUUGAGUUACCACUCUUAGUAUUAGCAAGCCUAAAUUAAUUGAUCCAAUUUUUGAUCAACGGACCAAGUUACCCUAGGGAUAACAGCGCAAUCCAUUUCAAGAGUUCCUAUCGACAAAUGGGUUUACGACCUCGAUGUUGGAUUAGGACAUCCUAGUGGUGUAGCCGCUACUAAAGGUUCGUUUGUU
This 546-nucleotide ribosomal RNA is filed under the name Leptobrachium abbotti (lowland litter frog). Its description in RNAcentral is "partial 16S ribosomal RNA". It matches the Rfam family "Bacterial large subunit ribosomal RNA", at positions 1799 to 2581 of the family's 2925-position model. Lineage: Eukaryota; Metazoa; Chordata; Amphibia; Anura; Megophryidae. The record is from RNAcentral.